Molecule: ribosomal RNA, 811 nt
Filed under: uncultured bacterium
Lineage: Bacteria
Description: bacterial SSU rRNA
Rfam family: Bacterial small subunit ribosomal RNA
Source: RNAcentral
AGAGUUUGAUCAUGGCUCAGACGAACGCUGGCGGCGUGGAUAAGACAUGCAAGUUGAACGAUGACUGUCUGGUAGCAAUAUUGGGCAGUCAUAGUGGCGAAAGGGUGCGUAACACGUGAGCGAUCUACCCUUAAGAUCGGAAUAACCCCGAGAAAUCGAGGCUAAUACCAAAUAAACUCACCGUGAUAAUUCAUGGUGAGUAAAGCUGGGGACCGCAAGGCCUGGCGCUUGAGGAUGAACUCGCGGCCUAUCAGCUAGUUGGCGGGGUAACGGCCCACCAAGGCUAAGACGGGUAGCUGGUCUUAGAGGACGACCAGCCACACUGGAACUGAGACACGGUCCAGACACCUACGGGUGGCAGCAGUCGAGAAUUUUUCACACUGGGCGAAAGCCUGAUGGAGCGACGCCGCGUGGGGGAUGAAGGGCUUCGGCCUGUAAACCCCUGUCAUUUGCGAACAAACCCGGCUUUUGAAUAGAGAGCUGGCUGAUUGUAGCGAAAGAGGAAGGGACGGCUAACUCUGUGCCAGCAGCCGCGGUAAUACAGAGGUCCCAAGCGUUGUUCGGAUUCACUGGGCGUAAAGGGUGUGUAGGCGGUCGAGAUAGUCUGAUGUUAAAUCUCUGGGCUCAACCCAGAUGCCGCAUUGGAUACUUCUUGGCUAGAGAGGCAUAGGGGGAACCGGAAUUCUCGGUGUAGCAGUGAAAUGCGUAGAUAUCGAGAGGAACGCCAGUGGCGAAAGCGGGUUCCUGGAUGCCUUCUGACGCUGAGGCACUAAAGCUGGGGGACAAACGGGAUUAGAUACCCUAGUAGUCC